CGGAAAGGCCCUUCGGGGUACUCGAGCGGCGAACUUGUCAGUAACACGUGAGCAACCUGCCCUGGGGUGGGGGAUAACCGAUGGAAACGUCGGCUAAUACCGCAUACGUCCUAAGGGAGAAAGAUUUAUCGCCCUGGGAGGGGCCCGCGUCGGAUUAGCUAGUUGGUGGGGUAACGGCCUACCAAGGCGACGAUCCGUAGCCGACCUGAGAGGACGACCAGCCACAAUGGAACUGAUACUCGGUCCAUACUCCUACGGGAGGCAGCAGUGGG
This 272-nucleotide unclassified non-coding RNA is filed under the name uncultured bacterium. RNAcentral describes it as "partial contains 16S ribosomal RNA and 16S-23S ribosomal RNA intergenic spacer region". It matches the Rfam family "Bacterial small subunit ribosomal RNA", at positions 67 to 358 of the family's 1533-position model. The record is from RNAcentral.